ACUGAUUCAUCUAUGUGAGGACCUUCUGGAAUAGAAGUUGUACCUACUAAUGCUGGUUAUACAGAUUCUCAUUUUCCUGGUAUUGCGAAGUUGUGACAUCAUCACAAUCACACAGUCAAUGUCAUAGGGCUGGAACCCAUCAGGAAGAAUACCAGAAAAUUGGAACAAAAAGAGGUGCAGCUUACCUCACAGUAGGAAAGAAGCGGCCUUUUAAUUGGAUUAUAUCACAUCACCACAAAAUUUAUGGAGCCUGGCCACUAUGCUAAAUAGAGACUGACCAUCAAAAUUUUGGAUUACCCAUGAACCCAGCUUUUUUCUUCCUUCUUCCUUUUUCAGUCAAACUUCAGAAACUAAAAAGAGGAAAAACUAAAUUAUUACAUUCAAG
Molecule: long non-coding RNA, 385 nt
Organism: Dromiciops gliroides (monito del monte)
Lineage: Eukaryota; Metazoa; Chordata; Mammalia; Microbiotheria; Microbiotheriidae
Exons: 3
Source: RefSeq, a predicted model, not a curated record